CUGUCAUCAGCCCCAAUCUCCUCUGUGAUCACUUUAACCCUUUCCAGAUAUACAAAUGGGUCAUCCCCUUUUUCAUACUGGGGAGCACCCAAUUUCAUGUAGUCAGUCAUCUUAACCUUGCUCCCACUGGCUGAGCUAGGUCUAGAUGGCUGAGCAACUGGGGCUGCUGGUUCUGUAGGUGGUGGAGGUGGUGCAACAUUUUUUGAGGUA
Molecule: long non-coding RNA, 210 nt
Filed under: Manihot esculenta (cassava)
Lineage: Eukaryota; Viridiplantae; Streptophyta; Magnoliopsida; Malpighiales; Euphorbiaceae
Description: long non-coding RNA (MESC_LNC008183)
Source: RNAcentral